This 1201-nucleotide long non-coding RNA is filed under the name Calidris pugnax (ruff). RNAcentral describes it as "lncRNA (ENSCPUG00000001028.1)". Lineage: Eukaryota; Metazoa; Chordata; Aves; Charadriiformes; Scolopacidae. The record is from RNAcentral.
CACCCCAUUUUUGGAGAGCGGCUUCUUCCUCUUCUCCUCCUCUUGCUCCUCAUCCUUGUCCUCAUCAUCCUCCUCCUCUUCCUCUUCAUCUUUGUCUUCAUCACUCUCUAUUUUUACCCUUUUCGCCCCAUUUCUCACAGCCUGGUUUUUCUCACUCCUCUUUUUGCCCGUUUUCACCCCAUUUUUGGAGGGCGGCUUCUUCCUCUUCUUCCUCUUCUCCUCCUCUUGCUCCUCAUCCUUGUCCUCAUCAUCCUCCUCCUCUUCCUCUUCAUCUUUGUCUUCAUCACUCUCUAUUUUUACCCUUUUCGCCCCAUUUCUCACAGCCUGGUUUUUCUCACUCCUCUUUUUGCCCGUUUUCACCCCAUUUUUGGAGGGCGGCUUCUUCCUCUUCUCCUCCUCUUCCUCCUCAUCCUCGUCCUCAUCAUCCUCCUCCUCUUCUUCCUCUUCAUCUUUGUCUUCAUCACUCUCUAUUUUCACCCUUUUCGCCCCAUUUCUCACAGCCUGGGUUUUCUCGCUCUCACUCCUCUUUUUGCCCCUUUUCUCCUCAUUUUUGGAGGGCGGCUUCUUCCUCUCCUCCUCUUCCUCCUCCUCAUCUUCCUCCUCAUCUUCGUCCUCCUCCUCCUCUUCCUCACUCUCCAUUUUCACCCUUUUCCCCCCAUUUUUCACGGGCUGGUUUUUUUCACUCUUCUUCCUCGUUUCGCCCCUUUUCUCCUCAUUUUCGGGGGUCACCUCCUCCUCUCUCUCCUGCUCUUCCUCCUCCUCCUCCCCCUCGCUCCCUUUUUCCCCCUUUUUCCCCCCAUUUCGCAGGGGCGGGGCCUCCCCUUCCCCUUCCCUCCCCAUUCCGCCUCUUUUCGCCCCAAUUCCAGGGGGCGGGGCCUCCCCCUCCCCCCCGUUCCCGAUUUCCCCCUUUUCUGCCCCAAAUCCCGCCGUCGGGGCCUCCAUUUCGGGCUCCGUUUCCCCCUUUUUUCGCCCCAAAAAACGCGGGGGGGGCGGGACUUCCGCUUCGGGCCCGCCUCUUCCGGGUUACUGGCGGUCACGUGGGGGGCCCUUUGCUAUCCCACAAUCCCCCGCGCUCCCCGCCGCCCGCUGGGGGCCGCCAUUUUGUCGCCGCCGCCGUCUGCCGGGCGCCGCCAUUUUGUUUCCGUACAGGCGGCGGCGGGAGGAGGGGGGAGAGGGGGCGGCGCCCAGCGCGGCGCCAGCC